Long non-coding RNA from Gasterosteus aculeatus aculeatus (three-spined stickleback), 316 nucleotides. The record is from Ensembl. Lineage: Eukaryota; Metazoa; Chordata; Actinopteri; Perciformes; Gasterosteidae.
GCUUUCUUGGUCGAGAGUAAGGUGAGAAAAUCAACACCCCUCUCGUAUCGGACUGCUGCUGGAGCCACGCUGGCCUGCCCGGAUUCCUCCGGCGAGAUAAGCGAUAAGUGUACGUUGUUGAGCUAUUCCUUUCAUUGUUACUGACACCGCGGACCACAUGGACUUGGCAGCACCGCCGACAACUCAAAGAAAAGGCGCAAGGGCACAACCUUUGUGGUUGUACACCGUGGCAAGAAAAGAGAAGAGACUCGCACCAAAGGAAGAACUCAGAGAGGAACAGUGGAGUUGUCCAACCCUGGGAACUUCCAGGGGGAGG